Molecule: ribosomal RNA, 498 nt
Filed under: uncultured bacterium
Lineage: Bacteria
Description: partial 16S ribosomal RNA
Rfam family: Bacterial small subunit ribosomal RNA
Source: RNAcentral
AUUGAACGCUGGCGGCAUGCCUUACACAUGCAAGUCGAACGGUAACAGGUCUUCGGAUGCUGACGAGUGGCGAACGGGUGAGUAAUACAUCGGAACGUGCCUAGUAGUGGGGGAUAACUACUCGAAAGAGUGGCUAAUACCGCAUGAGAUCUACGGAUGAAAGCAGGGGAUCGCAAGACCUUGUGCUACUAGAGCGGCCGAUGGCAGAUUAGGUAGUUGGUGGGAUAAAAGCUUACCAAGCCGACGAUCUGUAGCUGGUUUGAGAGGACGAUCAGCCACACUGGGACUGAGACACGGCCCAGACUCCUACGGGAGGCAGUAGUGGGGAAUGUUGGACAAUGGGCGAAAGCCUGAUCCAGCAAUGCCGCGUGCAGGAUGAAGGCCUUCGGGUUGUAAACUGCUUUUGUACGGAACGAAAAGCCCCGGGUUAAUACCCUGGGGUCAUGACGGUACCGUAAGAAUAAGCACCGGCUAACUACGUGCCAGCCGCCGCAGUAA